UUCUGUCCGGACUCACCUUUAGUUUUCUGCGGGGAGGGAAUGCUUCUGUGGUGAGGAGCAGUCCUUGGGUGAACUACCCCUUGCAAUUCAAAGUGGUGCAACCCAAACAAACAGUCUUUUUCUUCUCUCUCUCUCCCCUUCCCCCCACUUCAAUAAAAGGCCUCAGGUUGUGUGAAGGUCAGUAAUUAGGCCUCUUCAAUGCUUCCUGGCCUGGCUUGGGGAUAGAUAGCCUCAAAUCCUUCAAGUUUCAGCCAUUUCAACCUGCCUGGCCUGGGGAGAGCUAGUUGCAGGACUAGGCCUCAAAUCCUUCAAGUUUCAGCCACUUCAACCUUCCUUGUCUGUCUGAGGAGAGAUAGUUGGAGAACUAGGCCUCAAAUCUUUCAAGUUUCGGCCACUUCAACCUUCCUGGCCUGGCCUGGGGAGAGCUCUUUGGAGGACUAGGCCUCAAAUCCUUCAACUGUUGUGGCCGCUUCACCCCCUUCCUUGCCUGGAAGGACUGUUGGGAGGAGCAGGCCUCAAAUCCUUCAACUGCUCCAUGUCUUUACUUCAAGGAAUUUGAGCUGCUGGCUGAGUCCUCUUCAGUCAGUUUCCUGUGAGUAAGGAGGCUGCUGCUCCUGGAUCCUCUCAACUGCUCAUUGCCACCAUAACACCUGCCAUGAACUCCCCACCUGAGUUAGGACAGAAUAUGCGAAACUCAGGGCUGCCCAGUAAAAUGAAUUGACAGCAGGUUCCAAAGUGAUAGAAUAGAGUGAUCCUUCACACAAUACAUAAUUCUGGAAUUGGUUACCACAGAAUGUGUCGAUAGCCACUAGCUUACCUGGCUUUUAAACAGGAUUAAACAAAUUCAUGGGGGCUACGUCUAUUCACAAUUAUUCCCUAUGGCAGCUAAAUCAAACCUCCAUGUCUAGAUACAAUAUACUCCUGAAUACUAGAUGUUGAGAACAAACUAUUAACACCAUAAUGAACUGCUUCUAGUUACUCAGAGAGGCAUUUGGCUGGCCAGCCGGCUGGUGGCUGCGGUGCUGCUACUGCUCAAAAGAGAAUGCUGGGUUGUAUUGAGCUUUGGUCUGACAUGGUAGAACAUGUUCUAAUAAUAAUUUGGAGAUACUGUUAAGAGACAUUAUGUGCUAGUUUCUGAGCCAGUUGUGUGAGUUGCACAUCUAUUUAUCAGUAGUCUUUAAUGUGCACAACUGUAAAUGGACCCAAAAAGGUGCUGGUAGACUCACUCACAAACUUCUGGACUUUAAUCAGCCACAAGCCCUGCCAGGAUUCAGAGUAAUUUCCUAACUAUGAAUCAACCUGAUGACAAUGAAUCACACACUGGAAAAGAAUGCCAAAUAAAACAAGCCAUCACAUAUAGCUUGUAUAGAGCAGCCUAUGGAAAAGCUUUUGAUCCACUCCACCAAAACAGCAACAGUGAUGAAAGUAGAGAAAAGCAGGAACAGAAGAAUCCCAAACCACAUCUGUGAGUGUUGUGUAGUGAUAUUUAAGCCUGACAAAGAUUAAAGAAAGCAAGAUGGUCCUUCCAAGAAGACAUCAUGUGACUUGGAAAAAUACUCAUUUGAGUAUUUCAUAGAAUACUCUGAGCAGAAAAUAUACAGUGCUGAUAAAAAGGGCAUCCUGCUUUAAUGGGAAAUGUCUUGCCUUAAAUCAGAUUCAAGCUAAAAACACAACCACUUGCUGAUAAAUUCCAAUAGUCACCUGAAAUUCUGGUGUUCCCAUUAUACAAGUAUACUUCAUUUAUAACAAGGCAGUGAAGGAGUGACAGUUUGUAGGUGAUGCAGUUGCUAUAUUGUGCAAUCAUUGCCCUAAAAUGGACUAAAACCCUGCCUGCUGCCAGAAGCGGAUUUAGGGGAGUACAACUGGUUUUCCCACCAUGGGUGCCAAGCUGAAAGGGCACCACAGGGGGCACUGCAACAAUGACAAACAGUGGAAGGUGAGAGGCAGUGGGGAACUGAAUUUUGGUGUCGCACAGGGUGCCUCUAAAAUUUGAAAGCCCAAAGUCCAUCACUACUGCUGCUGCCUAGUCCCUUGGUUGUGGAUUAUGGUAGCAGCAGUUUGAACUCAUACACCAUUUUCAUUUUUCCACAAAGCCCUAAAGUGCCCAACUUAGCAUUGCUCUGGAGCACUGUGAGAAAGUUAAAAGUGGCAGUCAGCUUCCCAGACCCAGCCACUGCUUCCUGGAAAACUCAUAACUGAGGGAUCAAGUAGGCAGGUAGGCUGGCAAGUAGGCAGCCAUCCCAGGGCACUUUUCUAGAAAGGGGUCUAUACUCUAGAAGCAGCCUUACACUAAAUAUUACUGUAUGUUUUAUGAAAUGCAUGGGCUUUGUUUUGAAAUUACUGAAACGAUUCACAUAGAAAUAAAUAGUCUGUAUCUCUCA
Molecule: long non-coding RNA, 2381 nt
Organism: Podarcis raffonei (Aeolian wall lizard)
Lineage: Eukaryota; Metazoa; Chordata; Lepidosauria; Squamata; Lacertidae
Exons: 2
Source: RefSeq, a predicted model, not a curated record